AGAUGGCGACCGGCGCACGGGUGAGUAACACGUAUCCAACCUGCCGAUAACUCGGGGAUAGCCUUUCGAAAGAAGGAUUAAUACCCGAUGGCAUAAUUAGACCGCAUGGUCUUAUUAUUAAAGAAUUUCGGUUAUCGAUGGGGAUGCGUUCCAUUAGGCAGUUGGUGAGGUAACGGCUCACCAAACCUUCGAUGGAUAGGGGUUCUGAGAGGAAGGUCCCCCACAUUGGAACUGAGACACGGUCCAA
RNAcentral lists this ribosomal RNA (247 nucleotides) under uncultured bacterium. Its description in RNAcentral is "partial 16S ribosomal RNA". It matches the Rfam family "Bacterial small subunit ribosomal RNA", at positions 86 to 334 of the family's 1533-position model. The record is from RNAcentral.